RNAcentral lists this long non-coding RNA (12425 nucleotides) under Medicago truncatula (barrel medic). Its description in RNAcentral is "long non-coding RNA (MTRU_LNC005111)". Lineage: Eukaryota; Viridiplantae; Streptophyta; Magnoliopsida; Fabales; Fabaceae. The record is from RNAcentral.
AAUUGAUGACCUCAACGCAAAAUAUUCUUAGGUGUUUUUCUAUAAAUAGUUGUUUCACUCUUUCCAGUGUGUCAAUCAAAAUUUGAUCAAAAUAUGAGCUCUAAAUAUUCAUUAGUAUUACUUUUACUUGGAAUGAUAAUGCUCACCACUGUGAUUGGUGAAAGGAAUGAUAAUAAAUUUGAAUAUGAUCCUAUGUUAGAUCCAGAAGAUGAUUGGCCAGAGAUUUUUAAUGAACCGCUACCAUCCUACUAUAAAAUACCUAAAGAGGAGUCACCUGAUUAUGAGACAAACUUGUCAAAUGAAGCCAUCAACCACACCGUUUGAGCCAGUCCACAUUGCAAAAAUUCCUUACCAUUACAAGUGAUCGAAGUGGCAAAAGUGGGUCUAGUAAAAUAAUAAGAAAAAUUGUUUGUCAUAUGAAGUUUUCUUUUCUUUAUUUUUUUUUCUUCCUAUUUACCUCAAAAAUUCUAUUUUUCAAGUAGUGAAGUACAAUUUGCCCCUUUAUUUGAUUAAAGGCUCAAUAAACAUGUAUAUGUAUAAUAAUUACCUCUCAUUUUAGCAUAAAUAAUGUCAACUACUAAAAGUAUUAUCUAUGAUUACCACAAUAAUGCCAAUUUGGCUUGAUAUAUACUCCAUCUAUUUUUCCUCAGAAAAUAUACUCAAUCUAUUUCCAAUUUUAUUGUCAUUUUUAUAAUUUUUCUUUGUCUCAAUAUUUUUUUUAGAUUUUUCUUAAAAUAAUUGUCACUUUAUAAUAUCUAUGUCAUUUCCGGUUUUCGCCCCUAUAAAAUUUUCGGUUUGAUUUGCACUUUUGUAAAUUUUUUAUUUUCCGGAAAACACCCUUAAUAGGCCAUUCAAAAAUCAAAAUUUUUUGCAAAAAAAAUUCUGAAAAUGGCAUAUUAGGGUGUUUUCUGGAAAAUAAAAUUUUUACGAGGGUGCAAAUCAAACCGAAAAUUUUAUAGAGGUGAAAACCAAAAAUGACAUAUAUUACAGGGGUGAAAAACACUAUUAACCCUUAUUUUUUUCAUUGAUAAAUCUUUAUUUUUUGAAUUUCACCAAACUUAACUACUACAAUUAUUAAAAGUGUUUUGAUAUAUGAUACUACUUUUAUCAUUGAGAGCAAUGAGACAACCUAAAAACAACAAUUAAAAUGAGACAAAUGAUAAAAAUUAAAAUUUAUUGAUUAAACUUAUCCGACAUUCUGACUUUAAAAUUUAUUGAACCAUCACGAGUUUACAUAAGGUUGGAUCAACUCAAUGACCUGAACUUGAUCUGUUCGGUGAGAACGGUUGAGUCGCAACGGUUGUGAAGAAUGGUCCCAUGAUCGGUAACGACUUCCAGUGCGGUGGCGUAGCAUCUUAUGUGAUGGAACGAAAGGUGCCUGCAGACACGUUUGAAUUCCGACAAUCAAGUCAGUAAUGGAACUGAGAGAAAAGUUUUAGAAGUGUAGUGAAAAGUGUUGUGUACCUUGAGGGUAAAGCAAGUACACCCUUAUAUAGGCCCGCUCUUGGCAUGACCGUCUCCGGGUUAUGCGGCAUAUGAUUAAGAGCGGGAGUGGACAUGUGUAGCGUGAUCCCGACAGGGAAGCAUGGUCCAAUGUGGCAUGCCGCAGGCGAAUUGGCGUGCUCCUUUGAGUGCGAAGCCUUGAGACUGCGUAAUAUUGCACAUUUGUUGCCGUGUGAGUGGUCUAGAACUGAGCUAUUUUAUUUUUAAAUUCAUCUUUUUUUCAUGAUAGAGGGCUAAGUGAUUUGGUGUAGUUUCGGAGAAGAUCAUAUCUAUACUAUAUAUAAAGAAAACUACCUCUUUCAGCUCUUUUGGGUUGGAUUUUCUUUCCAAAAAUUCCCUCAAUUUUCAAUACAAAUAACACAUGUAACAAAUAGAUCAAAAUAAAUUUAAAUAUUAAAAUAAAAGUGUAACAAACAUAAAUGUUCAAUUUUUUACUUUAUCAUUUAAAAAGUGUAACAAACUAGAUGAGUGUAUCCAUACUUAUUUUUUCAUUAUCCCAAUUACAUUCCCUUAAACAACAACUUUUUCUAUUCUCUAAAAAAACAACUUUUUCUAUAAUAAAGAUUGUUGUUGGUUUCAUUAAAUAAAUACUCCAUCCGUUCCUUUUUAAGUGUCACUUUUGCAGAAAUUUUUUGUUCCUAUUUAACUGGCACUUUCAAAGUUCAAUGCAACAUUAAAUGUUGUUUUACCAAUAUUAUCCUUAGUUAUUUAUUGCGGAGAGAGAAAUAUAUGAAAUGAGAUAUUAAAUGAAUAAGAUCAUUAUAGUAAAAGUAUAGCUUAUUGCAUUAAAAGGAAUAUCAAUUGUUGAUUGUCUUGAUUUCGUAACUCGCGAAGCGUAUUACGAAAUGUGCAUCACAGGAUCCUGAGGAAUUGACCUAUGUUCAGUCUCGUAUUAACCCCCGUCACGCACUAUGAUAUCAUCCUUUAACGAUAUCAUCAACAUAUAUAUUAUAUCAUCAACAUAUAUAUGAACAAUUAAAAUUUCAUCCUUUAAUAAUUUUCAAAAGAGUGUGAUGUCAACUUGAUCUUGUGAAAACCGUUUUCUAAAAUAAUGUUACUAGGGUCUUUCAUACCAAGCUAUGGCAGCUUGUUCCAGAUUAUACAAUGAAAUCUUCAAACUCAGGAAGUUGUUUCAUACACUUCUUCAGAAAUGAUACCUAUAAAAUACGAACUUAUAAAAUCCACUUGAUAUAGAAUGAUAUCAUUAUUUACAACACAUGAUAAUAAUAGACUAAUUGCUUAUAAUUUUGCUACAUGUGCAAAUGUUUCAGCGAAAUCUAUCUCUUCUUGCUGACUAUUUCCUUGUACUACUAGUCUAGCUUUAAUUUUUACUAUAUCAUUUUGUUUAUUGAGCUUGUUUCUGAAAACCCACUUUAUGACAAUGACAUUAUUACCUUUUGAUCUUGGAACUAUUUCUCAAACAUCAUUUCACUUUGAUAAUUGUGCCCUACAAAAUUCCACUAGUCUUUUUAUGACUUCCGAUCAUAACAAGUAGUAUUUACUAUUUUUACAGAGGCUUUUGUGUCAGUUAUUUAGUUUGCUUGAUGCUUGUUUAAGAGUUAUUUUGAAUAAAUGGUUCUUAUGUUACAUAAGGUUUUUAAAAUUUUAUCUUCUUAAUUAACCUUAUAUUUUACCGUAUCCUCAUUGUGUUUAUUAGGUUUAGAGCUAAAAUAAUUUUUGUUUAAAAAAUAACAUGAACUCUAUGUGAUAUUUUAUUUUUUAAUGAUAUCUUGAGCUGUAGGUAACCAAAUGGAGUCAAACUAUUUCCGAAUGAAAUCUAACAUUAAUUGAUACAAGUUUUCAUAAAUAUACUAAAGUCGAAUUCGGCUUGUAAAAUGGUAAAAAAUGUAAAGGAUCUGAAUACAAAAAAGGAAACAAAGAAGAAGUGGAGAUUCAAUCCCCUCAUGUGUAAUUUUAUAUUUUCCUUUCUAAGUCUGAGUAGCUAACUUUUCUUCAGAUUGAAACUCUUGAUUAGUGAUGUCAAUUUUCUAGCAAGGGUUAGUUCGUUGGCAAGUAGUCAAAUAUAUAAAUUUCUUAACCUAAAGGUUUGCAAUACUUCAACUUGACUGCUACGAUUAUGAUUAAGAUAUGUAAGAGAUAUUAUGAUUAAGAUAUGUAGUUUGGGGGGGGGGGAUUAAAAGGCGACGAGGUCAUAUCAUAUUCCCUUGAUUGAUUGCUCAAUUUUAAGACAUCUGAUCGAAUUAGUCAGGCCAGUGUCUUGGUAACUAACACUCUUCAAUAGUUAUGACUCCCUAAUGUCUUAGGUUAGUCUAUAACCAUUGAAGGAUUAGUAAUGCCAAAUUAAGUACAUAAAUCAUUAUUAGAAAAUUUCUAAAGCUAAUAACAACUGAAUGAUUAAAUUAGGUCAAGCCAUUAACGUUAGGGUUAGUAACCACCAAGACCUAAAUCAAUUUAUAAACAUUUAUAAAUGCAUAAAAAAACAUUAAGGAUAAACUCAACCAAUAAAAUAACAAAGUAGACAACUGAAGUCAUAUGAUAAUGUAAAGUUACAAAAUCAAACGAUUACAGAGAAGUUCCUCUUUUAUGACCUAACCCCGAUAGAAUUAGUUACUCGUUAUUUCUAAACAUAAACUACUGCAUAUGAAUAAGAAAACAUGAGAAAAGGAUCACCAGUUGAUGAAUCCAUGGCUCUCAAAUGGAUCUGAUCGCUCCGAUAAUAUGCUAAAAUCGUGUUUCUGCCUUCAUAUUCUCAUCAAAAAGUGUUUUUUCACUGACCAAGGUGUUUGCCUUAUAUAGGUGCGUAUUUUCCUUAAAAUUAGUGAAAGUUGGCCCGCGAUGUUAGCAUAUAAAUUGCGAUGUUAGUUAAACAUAGAGUGAACACCUUGCAUGUCAUUCAUAUCUCACGAUGUGGAGGUUAUAGCCUGCAAUACGAGAUAGAUAGUGGCUGAAUCUUACAAAUUCCAUUUUGAUUCUACAAAUGACUUAAAACUUCUAUAUAAUUUCAUAUCAUCAAUGAUCCUCUUAGAAUCUAAUUGAGUUAUUUUAUUUAUGAGUUCUAGUUUAUGCAAUUGAUACCCAUGUACAUUCAAUAAUUCUUGUUAUUUAAUUGUGAUCUUACCAAUAUUGAAUUGAACCUAAGGUAUUUAAUUAUGGAUAAUUGGUUGUUUUGGUUGUUUGUAUGACUCUAUGUUUGUAAAGUAGUUCUUUUGGCACACCUUAUGCUAGAGGAGUUGCUUUUGGUGGUUAAUAUAUAUUCCAUUUUUGAUUGUUAAAAAAAAGUUAUUGUUCGCUAAGUAAUUGUCUUAGAGAUAUCAUAUCAUUUAGCUGUGACAAAAUUUAGUUGCCGAUCAUGCUUUUGAUGUUAGAUACGCGAGACCUGGCUUGAGUAAAAAAAAUUGGUUUUGCUAUAUUUUGCUAAAUUGUCGGAAACAUAAUCAAUUGUUACGGCUAGUACCACUAUUACCAAAUAGUAACAAAGAGGGGUUAUUGCCAUCAGUUGUUUCAUUUAAUUUACCUAAUUAAGUGGAACAUAAUUGCCAUGGUUUAGAACUGGGGUUAUUGCUUUAGGUUUUUCAAACGGUUUUUAAAGUCUCCUUAUUGGAGAUGCUUUCUCUAAGGUACAUUAGUUCGGCAUAAAACAUGAUGAAAUUCAUAAAACAUUAACGGAUAAGAUUAGUGUUGUGUAAUCAUUGAGACGAUCCAGAUUUUAAAACCUUACCUUUUAAUCCAAAAUUAGAUUUUAGAUAUGGAUCGUCCGAAACCGAGAUGUUAUAAUUGCGUGCAAUCAUAAGAUCAUGACAACACCUAACCCUAAUCUAAUAAACACCAAGAAUGAUAUAUAUAUAUAUAUAUAUAUAUAUAUAUAUAUAUAUAUAAUACCGUUUUUGCUUAUAAAUAGGAACCAAGGGAUAAGAUAUGGAUUUUUUUUUUUUUUGAGGGAGGAUAAGAUAUAGAGUUAAACAUGUAUAAAAUGGUAGAAAUGUGCACAAAAAUAAUCGCAACAAAUGCACACUACCCUUUUGUGACCUCAUUUGGACCAUUUUUAUUACUAAAGUAUAAAAUAUGAUAAAUAAUUUAAGUUGACGUGCUCAACAUUAAAUAUUCUCAAGGGUUUUCUUAUAAAUAGUUGUCUCACCCUUUCCAUUUGUGUGAAUUAAAAUCUAUAAAAACAUGGCCUCUAAAUACUCACAAGUAUUAUUACUUCUACUUGGAAUGAUGGUUCUUACUACUGUAGUGAGUUAUGGGCAUAAUAAAUUUGGGUAUGCGCCAAUGUUAGAUCUAGAGGAGGAUUGGCCAGACCAAUUCUUUCCACCACUUACCAUAAUUGAGGGUCGAAAGUCGCAUAGUUUUGGAUAUCCACCUAUAUUAGAUCCAGAAGAAGAUUGACCUAAUAACUAAUGAGAAAUCAUUUGUUUAUAAGCCAGUCCACAUUUCAAAGCUGUUGUAAGUACAAUUCUUUAUCAAAUGAGUGUUUUUUUCUUCCCACUUUUGUAUAAAACUCUAAUUUUUAAGAAGUGAUGUACUAUUUGAAUAAAGGCUCUAUAAAUAUUUCUAUGUAUAUUAUAUCUCAUUUCAGCAACAAUAAUGCCUAUUACUAGUGGUUUUACCUAUGAUUAAUAUUUUGUUAUUGUCUACAAUUUAAUUAUUCAUUAUGUGAUAACUAAUCAAUAAUAUUUUUUUUGUCAAAAAAUAAUCAAUAAUAUUUGAACAUUCAUCAUUUCAAUACACUCAUUCAACAAAAUAUUUUCUUUUUGUCUAUAUUUUACAAUCACAUCAUCGAUAUAUCACCAAAAUAUUAUAUUUAACUUAUCACAAUAUUUUUUUUUUCAAGAUAUCCUAGUAAGAACGGAUAUAUCCAAAAACAUUUUUUAUAUUAAAAACCCAAAGAAAAAGAUCAAUUAGAUAACAGCUGUACGUCACAUGUUCUAGAACUAUAAACAUAAAAAUAUUCAAAUUAGUUAUGUGUAUCUAGAACAAAAGAUCCAUCUCCUUUUCUUAGACCAUCGAUAAGAUAAUCCUACCGUGGAGUAGAAAAUUUGAGAUUAAAUUGUAACAUCCUGAUUUUUAAUAUUAACCUGUUAAUAUAAUUAUUGGAUAAUAUUAGUAUUAUUGUCAUUAUUAGUAUUGAUUGCUCGAUAUUAUGAAAUUAAAUUAUUCGUGAUUAUAGGUGAUGUUAUGAAUAAUGAGGAAGUAGAGGAGUUAACUAGUUGGUUAAAGAAUGAGAGAAAAUAAUUUUUUUGGAAGAAAAUAGUGUUUUUGGUAAGAAUAAGGAAGUAGAAUGCAAACAGAGAUGCAUUAGUAAAAUUGGAUAGAAAAGAGGUGGAAGUAGCAAAGUGAUGGACAAAAUUGGCAAGUACACCAAAUUAUAACAAGUAGUAAGUUGUAUCGUUCUUCACAAAGAUUGUCGUUCAACUCAAUAUAUAAUUUGCAAAACUUAUUUUAACACGGAAAAUAGUAAUGAUGGUUAGAAUUGCAGGGUUUAAUUGCCCGACCCAAUGCAAGAUUAGGUUUGUGUGAUUCAGAUGUGUAAUAGUGAUUAGGGAAUCCGUGAAUCCCAUCUUCCUUCUUUGUUGGAUCAAUUCAAAGUCCUUAUUAAUUAAGACCUAAAAACUACAUAAACAAAGAACAAUAAUGAACAAAGUACUCCCAUGAACAAUUAUGAAUAAAUAAGAAAUAAGUACUCCCAUGAACGAAUAAUUUCAGGUUGUCAAUCAUACUAAUCUUCUAUGAAUCAAUUUUUAGGAUUACCUAUACAUAUUUUCAAUUGAAAAAUAAUUACGAACAGACUAGUACAAAUUAAAUCGGACACCAGAAUAUAACUGAAUGAAAACUUUAUUAGUUGAAUCUAACAAAUAAGAAGGGGUUCAUAGUUGAACCCUAAUCAAGAGGUUUAUUUGCUCAUGGAAACAUACAUCAUAACAAAACAAAAUAAAAACAUACCCUAGGAAGAGUACAAGGAGGAGAAAUUCCUCCUUGAAUCUAUGAUGCUUGACCCUUGCUCUAAACCGUCAAUGUUUCUGAAUGAAUAAAAUAGUGUGCAAGGAUCUCUAUUUAUAACGUAAGGUUGCUUAGGAUUUAAUUCGAGAAAACUAGGAUUUUCUACCGAUCCAUGUAUGCCUGGGUCUUCUGGGUUUAUUUCUGAAGGAAUUUCCCUUCUUUAGUCCCAUGCACUUUGGGUUUUGUUGCUCAGAUUUGUUCAAGACCUUUGGAUUGGAGGAUAAUCUUGAAUACUCUUUGAACUAAAAUUUGAGUCCCGGCUGGCCAUGAAUCUGAAAGUCCUUUGUUUUGACUUAGUCAACACCUUGGAUCUUGACUCUCUUGUCUCUGAUGGGUUUCGAUUCUCUGCUUUUUCAGCAUUUGGAUUUGAGUAAAAGAGCAGACCCUUUUGAGUGCAAACAGAACAUGAUAAUUGUUUUGUCUUGACAAGAGUAUGUGUAUCCCUAACAGACGCACUUGUGAAGUCAAUUUCUCUCCCUUUUUUCUUACUAAUAUUGUGAGGGGUUAAUAGAUCUUUACCCCCCUGUAAUAUAUGUCAUUUCCGGGUUUCCCCCCUGUAAAAUUAUUUUUUUGAUUUACCCCCUUGUAAUUUUUUUUUGUUUUGAUUUACCCCCCUAAUAGGCCAAACAAAAACGAAAAUUUCUUGAAAAAAAAUAAAAUUAGUUUUUGUUUGGCCUAUUAGGGGGGUAAAACAAAACAAAAAAAAAAUUGCAGGGGGGUAAAUCAAAAAAAUAAUUUUACAGGGUGGAAAACCGGAAAUGACCUAUAUUACAGGGGGGUAAAAACCUAUUAACCCUAUUGUGAGAUAUGGAAGCUAAUCUACUUCUGUCAAAAUCAUAAUCACUAGAUUCUUCAGAUGAACUAUUGAAUUUAGUUGAAAGUAUGUCGAUUUCAUCUGGGGUUAAAAGUUGCCUUAGCAUGAGAUUUUGUCUUGAUAGAUAGUGAUUUUGGCGUCUCAAAGGUUUUAACUCUUCUGAUAAAAAAUUAAAUUGUUUUUGCAAGUCCUUUAAGGAUCUUGAUUUGUUCAGAUAGAGUCUUAGAAGCCUUCUGACAUAAGGAAUAUACCCAUUACAGAUUUGUUCAAAGAUUACCUCAUCAUCCUUAUCUGAAUAUGAGCUUGGUUCUUCACCAGAAGAUGUUUUAACUACUAAACCCAUAUUAGCUUCCUCUUUGUUGUCCUCAGAGUCUGUAUCUUCAUCAAGCAUCUUCCAGGUUUCCAUGAAGAUUUCCUUGAGCUUUCACUUGUAGGUUUCCCUAUGCUGAUUUUCCCUAAUGCGCCUCAGGGAAAUCAGCUAUGAAGUGACCAUUCUUUCCACAGUUGAAGCAUCCUUUUUUAUUAUCUCUUUUGUCUGUGAAGUGGGAUGUCUUUAAGUCACUGCUUCUGCUAAAUGCUAUCUAAGGACACCCUUUGAUAGCUAUUUUUAACAAAAAGUGCUAUAUAAACCCUGCUUUAGACAACAGUUUAUAAAGAAAACAAGCACUAUAUUACAUUUACCAGCGUCAUUUACCAUAGCGCUUUUAAAGUGCUAUAAAUGGUCCGAAAAAUCACUAUCUAUGACCAUUUUUUGCAUAAUGUCUCCUCUCAUAUUAAUCCUCAUAUUACAUCAUUACUUAUCAUAACUCUAUUUCUUUUAAAAUAAUAUAAUAUUAAAUAAAAGUGCAUCAUCAUAAUCCUAAAUAAGACUCAACCUAUUUUAAUAUUAUUAAAUUAAUUGAUUAAAAAUUUGGGGUUUGUACAUGUUCAUCUAGGGAGUCUUCUACAGUGCCUACCAAAUCCAUGUUUCUCUAAUCCGUCGGGUGAAUGGACCAUACGACGCACGAUCGUCAUCAAAAUAUGACAAAGACAAUUAGCGUCUUAUAUGCCUUGGGGAGUGGGGUUACCUUCUACUCGGAGAACUCCUAGGAGAUCUUAUUUUUGGAGAAUGUCUAGGAGAUCUUAUGUUCAGAGAAUGUCUAGGGGACCUGGAUCUUGAUGGAAGGGUAUUCCUUCCCAUGCUGCUAUGAUGUGGGGAAGGAGGUCGAAUAAUUGAACGAGGAUAUGGUGAUCUCCUCAGUAAUCCUUGGAGUGGGGAUCCUUCAUUUCUUUGAUUUGUCGGUUCUGAUCCUUAAUCAUAUAAUUUUUGCGGUGUAGGGUUUGAAGGAUGUUGUUGAACAUGACAUCUACGGGAGAUGUGUUGCUUGCUUCCUUGUUUGGCCGCGAGGGGACAAUUAGUGGAGCCUCUCGAAGGGAACUCGCCAUUGAUGGGACACGAUGGUGCACUCGUCAGUUGGUGAGGGAGUUAAUGUUUGACCGUCACGUUGUGGACGGUGGAUCUCACUCUUGGGAUGCUGCACCGUUGGCCAUCGUAAGAGUAGGUUCCUUUUAGGAAAUUUAUGAAGAUUUGGUCUUUUAAGUAGGAAAAUACGAUACCACUAAUUGUACCUUAUAAGAUGAUGACGUAUGAUGCAGUAGUCUUUGGCUGUUUGUGAGAUUUAAAACGACCAGGGGGGUGUACAUGCAAACACUCUUACGCUCAAGUAAGUUUAAGAUGGUUAGAGAUAGAAAUGGUAUCAUACCUUUGGGGAUUGUGUAAAGUCCUCUUAUAUAAAGGUGACGGGCAUGAGUCGUUGUAAGGCACAAUGAGGCAUCUGACGGUUACAAAUUUCCAGGAAUCGUUAUCGUCGAGCGAGAAUCGUGGGCAUGUUCUACAUUCAGUUUGAAUGUGUCUUACACCCUCCUCGCAGAGAGAGGGUGUGUGUCGGAAGUAAUCGACCCAAAUGCAAGAUUGGGCCUGUUUUGGUUCGGGCAUGUACAAAUAAGCAUUACACAACUGCUCAGUCCGGAACAUAUUUAAUAUAAAAAGAUCAAUAAAAAAUGAGGCAUGCUCUAAGGAAUCAAUUCUAAAUGACGUGAAAUCUUAGCAAUGUACAUUUAGUUGAACCUAAAUACAUGAAAACUAUCAUGCAAAUUCAAGCUUCGAACUUGAAGAAAUCCAUAAAAGAAUAAUGUAUUGUGAUUAGCAAAGCACAAUCACAUACAUCUCGAUUGUUCGAUCAAGGAUGAUCCAGUUCUUAAAAAAAAUUACUAUUUAAUAUAAAACUAGAGUUCGUAAAGUAGACUGCCCAAAACCAAGAUGUAGUGAUUGUGUGCAAUCAUAUAAUCGUGACUACACCUAAUCUUGAUGUAACAAUCAUAGCUUAUUACCCCAUCCCGUCCUUAAUAUAAGAAGAAAACCCAAAAAAUUUUAAAACUAAGACAAUCAUUAAUUGUUGUAACUUUUUAAAUAUUUUUACAAAUAUACAAUCAUAAUCUUUUACGUAAUAAAUACACCAUAAAAGUUAUGACUUUUUUUAUAAAUAGAAUCAAUUUUUUUUUGAAAAAUUUCAUACUGGAGGGAGAAAUUUUGUUUAACAAUAAAGGUUAGUUGUUACUCAAAUGUGCACAAGUUGAUCCGAUAAUAACGUGAAAACAACAUACAAGACAUGAAGUUAAAUAUGUAUUUAAAAAGAUAAAAAUAUAAUUAAUGUGUGCACAAAAAUAAUCCCGACGAAUGCCUUUUACCCUUUUGUGACUUCAGUUGGACAUUUUUAUUACUAAAGUAUAAUAGAUAAUUUUUUUGACAAAAGCAUAAUAAUAUAAAUUGAUGACCCUGUUCAAAAAAAAUAUAAAUUGAUGACCUCAACACAAAAUAUUCUUAGGUGUUUUCCUAUAAAUAGUUGUUUCACUCUUUCCAGUGUGUCAAUCAAAAUUCGAUCAAAAUAUGAGCUCUAAAUAUUCAUUAGUAUUACUUUUACUUGGAAUGAUAAUGCUUACCACUGUGAUUGGUGAAAGGAAUAAUAAUAAAUUUGAAUAUGAUCCUAUGUUAGAUCCAGAAGAUUAUUGGCCAGAGAUUUUUCAUGAACCACUACCAUCCCACUAUAAAAUACCUAAAGAGGAGUUACCUGAUUAUGAGACAAACUAGUCAAAUGAAGCCAUCAACCACACCGUUUGAGCCAGUCCACAUUGCAAAAAUUUCUUAUCAUUACAAGUGAUCGAAGUGGCAAAAGUGGGUCUAGUAAAAUAAUAAGAAUAAUUGUUUGUUAUAUGAAGUUUUCUUUUCUUUAUUUUUUUCUUCCUAUUUACCUUUAAAAUUCUAUUUUUUUAAGUAAUGAAGUACAAUUUGCCCCUUUAUUUGAUUAAAGGCUCAAUAAACAUGUAUAUGUAUAAUAAUUACCUCUUAUUUCAGCAUAAAUAAUGUCAACUACUAAAAAUUUUAUCUAUGAUUACAACAAUAAUGCCAAUUUGGUUUGAUAUAUACUCCAUCUAUUUUUCCUCAAAAAAUAUACUCAAUCUAUUUCCAAUUUAAUUGUCAUUUUUAUAAUUUUUCUUUGUCUCAAUAUGACUAAGAGCGGGAGUGGACAUGUGUAGCGUGAUCCCGACAGGGAGGCAUGCUCCAAUGUGGAACGACGCAGGCGAAUUGGCGUGCUCCUUUGAGUGCGAAGCCUUGAGGCUGCGUAAUAUUGCACAUUUGUAGCCGUGUGAGUGGUCUAGAACUGAGCUAUUUUAUUUUUAAAUUCAUCUUCUUUUUCAUGAUAGAGGGCUAAGUGAUUUGGUGUAGUUUCGGAGAAUAUCAUAUCUAUACUAUAUGUAAAGAAAACUACCCCUUUCAGCUCUUUUGGGUUGGAUUUUUCUUUGCGGAAAUGCUCUCAAUUUUCAAUACAAAUAACACAUGUAACAAAUAGAUAAGAAUAGAUUUAAAUAUUUAUACUAUAUAUAAAGAAAACUACCCCUUUUAGCUCUUUUGGGUUGAAUUUUUCUUUCCAAAAAUUCCCUCAAUUUUCAAUACAAAUAACACAUGUAACAAAUAUAUAAAAAUAAAUUUAAAUAUUAAAAUAAAAGUGUAACAAACAUAAAUGUUCAAUUUUUUACUUUAUCAUUUAAAAAGUGUAACAAACUAGAUGAGUGUAUCCAUACUUAUUUUUUCAUUAUCCCAAUUACAUGCCCU